Molecule: transfer RNA, 74 nt
Filed under: Ectopseudomonas oleovorans
Lineage: Bacteria; Pseudomonadati; Pseudomonadota; Gammaproteobacteria; Pseudomonadales; Pseudomonadaceae
Also listed under: 2 other names
Description: Pseudomonas oleovorans tRNA-Glu
Rfam family: tRNA (bases 4-65)
About the family: Transfer RNA (tRNA) molecules are approximately 80 nucleotides in length. Their secondary structure includes four short double-helical elements and three loops (D, anti-codon, and T loops).
Source: RNAcentral
GAACUUCGUCUAGUGGCCUAGGACACCGCCCUUUCACGGCGGUAACAGGGGUUCGAGUCCCCUAGGGGACGCCA